UGUGAGUUAAACCAGGUAUAUACGGUUCAUCAUCCAGCAACAGUUCGUCAACUUUUGACAGAUCUUUAUUUGUAGGGUCAAGAUCACUGCUCCUCACAUCAUCAGCACGCUCCUUAACCCUGAUAAUACAUGUACCAACAUAUGGCACCAUGGCCAUUAGUCAGCGACAACUAUGGAGGAGAUAUUUUACAGAUGGAAAAUAUAAUAUUCAUUCUCACUAUAAAAGCCAGUUCAAGCACCUUCUACUCAAAGUUUAUUUCUGACCCGAUGCGGCCAAAGUUUUGGUCAAAGAAGUCAACGAGUUGAAGAUAUGAUUUGAUUCAUGGUAAAGAAGCCAUACGUUAAAGCUCAUAAGUGUAGCAUCACUUCUUGAUAAAAAAUAUUAAACUUUGAUCUGAUUAAAACUUUUACAUGAUCAAAUUUUUACAGCAGCUUAAAAUAAAUUAGCAGAACCAGAAACUGAACCUUAUAAUGCACUGAAAAUACUUUUUGAGGGUGUGGAACAAACAAGGUAGCUGCUACUGGUGUCGUGAGCAAUCCAUAGCAGCAGCAUGCUGGCUCAUCUCAAGAGGUUUGUUAUUUCAACGGAAAUCACUCAUUGACAGUAAUUGUAAUAGUAUUUGCAGUAUUGCACAGUUCUCUGGAAAUCAUUUUUUUUCUAACCGUAAUCAAGGCACUGUUGAGAAAAUGAAAAGGACUAAAAAGGGAAGUUCAACCAGACCGACAAUGCACAGAGGAUUUGGCCCCCUGGAUUGGAAUUGUUGUCCAUGCAGUGCUGAAGGCAUGGAGCCAUGGACAGCUGCUGAUGGUGAGGGCAAAGCAAAGCCAACCCUUUCACCAGUGAAAAGAAUAGUGUGGGGGAGUUCUAAGCUGUGGAACUUAGGUAUCGUAUCACACUAUCACUCCUUUGGGCCCAGUUAGUUCAGUCCAGCUUGACUUAGUUUGGAUUACCAACUUAUAUAGUAGUUGGGACACUGACGCAUAUUGAGACUUGCAGAUGCUACUCUCUGAUUACAUAAAGAAGAAAGGCAAUGCAAAACAGGAGCUAACUCAGUAGCAUAGGAGGAUAGUGAAGAACAGGCCUCGGAUCACUGGGGUCACAGUGGUGGCUUUUUGAUCGUAUAAGGGGAAAGUGCAACACUACUAGACAGAACUUUUAAGUACCUCGCCAAGAGGUGCUAGGAUAAGCAGUAGUAAUAUUUAAUUACCCAGGGCAGUAUGCGCCUAUUCAUAGUAUUAAUGCAGAAUAUAUUACUAGGUUCAGGGUGGGCAUUGGCUUAAUUCAGUUCCCUUUGUACUAAUUGCAAAGGCAGCAGUGAAAGCAUAUGCAGUGACAAUGCAAAAUCAACAGGAGUUUGGAAAAUUUACGGUAUCUAUCUAGACACCACCAUGAUCACCCUCGACUAGCUUGGUUAGUUUCGAAUGUUACUUUCUUAUAAAUCAGCUACAGUUAAUAGGUUCUGUUACAGCAAGAUGUCCAUUUGAAAUUGCAAAAAAUAGUCAUAUGAUUAAUUUUUCGUAAACAUAACUCAUAUUUAUAACCACGGGUACACAUUCAUAUAGCUAAAAUGAAAAGGGAAAAAUAAUUAGUGGAACUUACGGUAAGGUUAGUGAGUCUGCUUCUCUUCUUUUCCGUCUAGGCUGCCUUUUCCGCUGUGAAUAGAGAGAACUCUGUCGAAUAUGAGUUUUACUUCCAGCUUCUGCGUGUCCAGGUUCCCUG
This 1720-nucleotide long non-coding RNA is filed under the name Oryza brachyantha (malo sina). Its description in RNAcentral is "long non-coding RNA (OBRA_LNC003450)". Lineage: Eukaryota; Viridiplantae; Streptophyta; Magnoliopsida; Poales; Poaceae. The record is from RNAcentral.